CCAAUCUCUCUCUGUCUUCUUCUCCUCCUCCAUUUUCGCUUUCUCGCAAUCUCAACUUCCUCUCUAAAUCCCAUUCUUUCUGCUUCAAAACCAGAAAGCAAAGGCUGCAAUCUCUAUCUGUCUUCGCUUCUUCUGCCUCUCUUGAAGCUCUAGUAUUCGACUGCGAUGGAGUCAUUUUGGAAUCAGAGCACCUCCACCGCCAAGCUUACAACGAUGCUUUUGCUCAUUUCAAUGUCUGUUGCUCUUCCCGGCCUC
RNAcentral lists this unclassified non-coding RNA (255 nucleotides) under Hevea brasiliensis (rubber tree). The record is from RNAcentral. Lineage: Eukaryota; Viridiplantae; Streptophyta; Magnoliopsida; Malpighiales; Euphorbiaceae.